Molecule: long non-coding RNA, 697 nt
Organism: Peromyscus eremicus (cactus mouse)
Lineage: Eukaryota; Metazoa; Chordata; Mammalia; Rodentia; Cricetidae
Exons: 3
Source: RefSeq, a predicted model, not a curated record
UUGCUAAGUCUACAGCAAGCAAAAGGAAAGGAAUAAGUAGCAAGUAGCAGAUGGAUAGGAAUGGCGGCUAGACAUCAUCCAAUCGGGAGUUUACAGCAUCCAGCAGAGAUUGCUGGAGUAGCCCAGCUGAGAGAGCAAACAAAGGGCACAGAGCAUGCUGGGAAAAAGAAAGGCAGAGUCAGAAGAGUCUCCAGGAGAUGCAGAGGGAACAAGACAUGCUGGAGGACAGGGAAAUAAGCAACAUUUCAAUCACUUUGUUGCCUUGAGAGAAGCCCUCGACCAUUAACACUGGAGGAAUGCCAAUUAGGGAAGGAAAAAAAAAUCCUGGAAAACAGAGGCGCAAAGAAUGGAGUCCUGCACCUUCAAGGACCUGGCUCUGGGGCUGGAGAGAUGGCGCAGGGGUACAAGCAUGUGCUGCUCCUCCAGAAGAUCUGUGUUUGGUUCUCAGGACCUAUGUCAGGCAGCUCACACCACCUGCAAUUCCAGCUAGAGAAGAUCUGAUGGCCUGGCUUUUCUGGCUUCCAAGGGCACCUGCACCCGCAUGUACAUGCCCACACCGACACAUAUACAUGCAAUUGAAAAUGAAAUCAAAUCUUAGAAGAAGAAUCUGGGCUUGGGGACUGAGGUGGAUUGUAGUGGGAGAGUGUGUGCUUAGUAGGCGUGAGGUCACAGUUUCUAUUAAUAGCACCAAAAAAAA